GCGGCCGUGACCCUGCUGGAGUGCGGGGGGGACCUCCAGCCCCCCGGGGGAUCCCUGCGCCUCCUCUGCCGAGGGUCCGGGUUCAGUUUUGGGGAUAAUGGAAUGUACUGGAUCCGCCAGAGGCCCGGGCAGGCUUUGGAAUACGUCGCAGGCAUCUACUACAAUAGUGCCAACACCUACUACGCGCCAUCGGUCAAGGGUCGGUUCAGGAUCUCCAGGGACAACGGGCAGAGCUCGGUGAUGCUGACCAUGAACAACCUCAAGGACGAGGAUUCCGCCAUUUAUUUCUGCGCCAAGGGGACAAAGUUUGAGGAUUCGGUCAGCGGCUACUGGUGCAGGGAGCACAAAGUGGGGAUUUGGGGCAGAUUCGGGCGAUUUUUGGUGCCAACUUAUUUGGGUCUGGGGCAGUACUAG
Non-coding RNA from Melozone crissalis (California towhee), 414 nucleotides. Lineage: Eukaryota; Metazoa; Chordata; Aves; Passeriformes; Passerellidae. The record is from the annotation of a RefSeq genome assembly.